Molecule: long non-coding RNA, 4091 nt
Filed under: Mus pahari (shrew mouse)
Lineage: Eukaryota; Metazoa; Chordata; Mammalia; Rodentia; Muridae
Description: putative homeodomain transcription factor 1, opposite strand (MGP_PahariEiJ_G0003502.1)
Source: RNAcentral
AGCCUGCAGCCACAGACGCCCGACCUAGGCGGCCACAGAACAGGCCAUGGGAGAAGCCAGGAGCCAACUGGGAAAUGAGCAGAAGGAAGUGGGAAGGGUGCCUUCGCCAGCCACCUCGGCACCAGCAAGGCCUGGGUGCCCGGCUGGAAGCGAGCGGCCGGCCCCGGGCCGGAGCUGCGGCGCGCGUCGUCCGUGAGGGACCGGCCGCGGCUCCACAAGCUCUCGAUGCGAUCGGCCGCUUCCGCCUUCCGGCUCCGCCCCCGGCCACCUUCCCGCCGCUCCGGCUGCCCGGAGACAGAAGCCGACAGCCUCCUCGCGUGUAACCCUGGGCGCUUAACGGAAAGUCACCUCAGAAACGACCCUCCCAGUACCCGUCGGUCCCCGGGAGGCUGGUCCCGCUGUUCCAGAAGUUCCUGGGCGGGUCUGUAGCAUUUAGCGUGGUGUUUACUUCAUGUCCUCGUCUCCUUUGGGUGGACGAGCUCACAGACUAGUGCGGGGCACGAGCCUUCGCUCGAGUUCUCCGUUCUUGUUGGAUGGACAAAUGUUGGUGAAUUUGCGCGGCCUGGAACGCGGACAGGCGGGCUGUGGCCCAGUGCUUCCUCCCUCGGCUCUCGGCCGCUCUGGGACAAAGGCUUUCUGCCGCCCACGCCACACUAAGGGGAUACACAGGGCUCGGACUGCACUGUGACUUUCCCCAAAUCGAAGAAAAUGACCUUAUAGUGACUCAGAGAGGUCCAGAGAAAGGGUAACUGCACUCUAAUGUAAAUAUAAAUAUGUAUACCCACAGGGUUUCUAAGCUGUUCUUUUCUCCACACAUUAUGUGCACCUUCGUGGUUUGUUUCCAGGGGCCACUGUCUUGAACUUAUUUAAAGCUAAGUCCUUUCUUGCCCUAGGCACUAAGCAUUUGGUUGAUGUAAGGCUAAAAAUGGGUAAUAGUUAUCACUUAGGCAGUCUCCAGCUUAUAUAAGCCAUUAAAACAGCGUCAAAUGAAAGUUAUCCAUACUGUAAAACGACUAAAAUGUUAACACCCAUAGGAAUAAUUUUUAAAAAUUACUUCACCCAUAUAUACCCCUCAACUGUUAAGGGUUAAAUAAAAAGCAGUUAAGACUUAACAGUCCCUUCAGUGCUGCUUAACAGUGGAACUCAAGGUAACGGCCAACUAAUUUUGGUGAAUGACCUCAAAAAAUUACUUUUAAGACCUAAAUUUAACACUAAUAAUAAAAGCAUUUGGCUUCAUUACCGAACACACACAAGAGAGGUUUUUCUGGGCUGUGGCUAGUACUUUGAGGAAUAGAAUUAGUGGUACAGUUGCAAAUUAUUUUUCAGGAACCCUGGUAAAAAUUUUCAGUGUUUUAUUAGGAUGCUGCUGGGUAAGGCAGAGCUUUGAACCCCCCCCCCCCAAAAAAAAAAAAAAAAAAAUUCAGGCCCCAGCUCCCAGGAAUGAAGUGCCAUUUUAGGAAAUUGACUUAACAAGUCUGUUUCUCACCUGUAUGUGGAGAUGAUUACCUCCCUCCUAUCUAUGAGAACUGAGGAAAUACUGAGACCCUUCUAAGAGCUAAAUGCUGUCAGGACAGGCACUUCAACUACAGAAUUCGCACAAAACUUAAUGAGGAAAAGGAUUCUCUUGUAUCCCAUACUCCAUCCACAUCUGAAAAGUAUUUACUUUUCAGAUGGUGUUUACCAUCUUCAUUAUUAUGCCAUGCAUUGUCACAAGCCUAAGGCUGCUCUAAGUGCACAUAACCAAGUUUAAGCAGCAAUAAGGACAACUAUCACAAAUAAAAGCUUCAUUUUUCUUCAAAACUAGUUGUACCUCAGUCUGGGUAUCUCUGACUUUUUUUUUUUUUUUUUUGCAAAGAAAAGUCCAUGGUUUUCUUCUAAAGCUUAAAAGUAAAAUGGCACAAAGAAGGUGAGUAGAUGGAUGUGUGUGUGUGUGUGUAGGGGAGAAGACUGGCACUCUACAAACAGGGUGCCAGCAUGAGAACUUCCAUGUGCUAUUCAUUUUGAAACAUCAGUAAAGGACAAAUCAGACUUUGUUUAUUAAAAAAAUACUUUACAGGAAAAAAAAAACCUAUGCAUUCCAUUGUCCUACUUUACAAAGAAAUAGCUUAACAAUUUAACACACUCAGACAGCUACAAAAAAGCACUGUGUUAAAAGAAUUAUUAUUCACACAAAUUUGAGAUUUAAGACUAUCCAUUAAAAACCUUUUAAAACACUUGUUAAUGUCAAUAAACAAACUAAGGCCACACAAACGCAAAUAGUCCGCCAGGCAAAUUAAACAUUUCAUCUAUAUGCAAAGACCUCUUAGAUAAAUUAAAGCCACAGGAAAAAAAGUCUUAGCUGCCAAUCAAAAUGAAGUUUAGUCACAGAAAACACUAUUACAUGAAAAUUUACAACAUGUGAUAGUAUUACAUAAGUAUUUCUUUAGAGAGAAUUGAAAAGUGCUAUAUUUUAAGAGACGGUGGUCUCAACUACAUGCACAAGUGGAUCCUAAAAAAUGUAUGGAGAUUUUUAAAAUGGAAGGCCAUAAUAUUUAUGGAUACUUGCUUUUAAAGCAACAGACUUCCAGGACGAGAGUAAGUCCUUUAUGCACUUAAGAAAUACACUGGUGAUGUGUAUCUCCUCUGCUUGCAUGACCAGUAAGUAUGGCUACAGACUGUCUUGAAACAUGAAACUCAGCACAAAUGUGAGCCUCUGGCAUGUGCUACUGAAAGGAUGAAACAGAUUUAUUAGAAAAACACAAACUCAGUAAUCCUAAUUAUCUUUAAUAGAUACAAAUAAAUUUUAAAGGCAAAUACAGAUGAAAAUAUAAUGGGCUAAUAUUAAUGAUAAAGGAUAUAUUCACUAGGAACAUAUUUUCGUGGAUUUUGGAGUCUUGUUCCUAUAUUAACUUUCCUUCUAGACAAUAUUUAUACAGGGAAAAAAAGCACUAAGCAAAAGUUUCUCAAGUCAUUAGGUGAGAUCUUUAUGCCUGUUAAGACUGAUACAUCAUUUCCUAAAGUUUAGCAAAUUAUUUAAAUAAGCUCCUUUCCCCAUACAAGAGCUUGUAAUAUUUGUGAACUAAUAGUCCAACUGUUUCUGAGGGUACAGGGCAUUUUCCAAAAGUCUUAGAGUAAAAAUAAUGUACCAGUAAAACUGUAAGUACUGAAUAAGCAAAGUACAAUUAAGACUAAGAAUUCAUUUCUCAAGAGUUAAACUUUGGAAGAGGGAACCAAUAUAAAGGCUAUUAUUAUUGCUUUAUGAAUUUGGGACAUCUCUCAGGACCGUAACCCUAAUACUCUUACCCUAUCUUGAUAAUUAUAGAGUGACCUCUGGGACAGGGGAAGACUUUUAUUCUUUUUAAUGGUUACCAUAAAAUCAUUCUAUUUGCUGUUAAGAAUAUUAAUUUAUUAGGUCCUUUCGAUUAGCAUAUUUUUAAAGUAUCCCUCUGAUCCACAAACUACUAAAACUUAUAACCACAUUCUGCAAGUGCCUCAAGGGCUGGCACAAUAGAUAACAUACCAGGAAGGAAGAUCAGCUUCAAUUUCAGUUACAACUUCACUGCCAUCAGAGGAUACCAGACUGUUCCAUGCCUCACUCCACCAACCAAAUAGUUUAAUGAUUUAGAAAACUUGCGAUCAUUUGUAUCACUCAACUAGGACACAGUUUUGAAAGCAGCAAGAAACUCAAAGCUUCUGCUUUUAUAUUCAUCAGUCUUUAAAGCAUGCUAUCAAAAUCUAAUACUCACAUAGGACAUUCAGGAUUUUCAGAUACAUUACUAGCUAAAUGUUUCUUUCCAUUCUAUUGCAAUCUAAUAUACAAUGACUUCAUUAGUACAUGAUUUUCAACAUUUUUAUAUUCUUUUAAUAUGUUUAUACUGGAAGUGAGGGUAGAAUGUUUUGUAAAAGGAAAAUGGAGAUUUGCGUUUGAUUGUAGGUCUUUGCAGAUCCGCUGGUUCCUGAGUGAUUACACAGUGCUGGCUGUCAGGAGACAGUCUCCUUGUUUAUUAGUAAUGACCAGCUUAGAUGACAGGAUGGCAUCUGCUGGAUGGCAAGUGGGAGAUGGGGAAAUCGGAUCUUGGAAGACAAGAAAAACAAAAUAAAACUUUUUGCGU